CUAUCAUUCUACCAAAGUACCAAACAACUAAAACAAGUAAGAACAAAGAACAAACGUUUUCACUCGAGUAAUCCAGAGUUACUGAGAAUCUCAAACCUGCAUCAUCUUUAGCUGACCAGACUAAAAGAUCAACACACGAAGCAAGAACAUGAAAUUUCCACUGUACCGGUAAUUUUUUACUACACCUCAAAUUCUCAAACAGAUACCCCUGACCAGUGCUCACAGUACCUGAUUAAGCUCAGCCAGUAUUCUAUCCAGUUCAGGUUUCAACUUGAAGUCUGAACCACAUUUCCUGCAUUGUUUAUGACAUAGGAGGUUGAUAUAAGAUAUAGUUGAUCUAGAACAGUUGGCACUGAUAGCUUGGCAGAUUCCAAGAAGA
This is a long non-coding RNA of Dendronephthya gigantea, 379 nucleotides long. RefSeq lists it as uncharacterized. NCBI's taxonomy places the organism in Eukaryota, Metazoa, Cnidaria, Anthozoa, Malacalcyonacea, Nephtheidae. The transcript has 3 exons. The record is from RefSeq and is a predicted model, not a curated record.